GAUGAACGCUGGCGGCGUGCCUAAUACAUGCAAGUCGAGCGAACAGUCGAGGAGCUUGCUCCUCUGACGUUAGCGGCGGACGGGUGAGUAACACGUGGAUAACCUACCUAUAAGACUGGGAUAACUUCGGGAAACCGGAGCUAAUACCGGAUAAUAUAUUGAACCGCAUGGUUCAAUAGUGAAAGACGGUUUUGCUGUCACUUAUAGAUGGAUCCGCGCCGCAUUAGCUAGUUGGUAAGGUAACGGCUUACCAAGGCAACGAUGCGUAGCCGACCUGAGAGGGUGAUCGGCCACACUGGAACUGAGACACGGUCCAGACUCCUACGGGAGGCAGCAGUAGGGAAUCUUCCGCAAUGGGCGAAAGCUUGACGGAGCAACGCCGCGUGAGUGAUGAAGGUCUUCGGAUCGUAAAACUCUGUUAUUAGGGAAGAACAAAUGUGUAAGUAACUAUGCACGUCUUGACGGUACCUAAUCAGAAAGCCACGGCUAACUACGU
Molecule: ribosomal RNA, 496 nt
Filed under: uncultured bacterium
Lineage: Bacteria
Description: partial 16S ribosomal RNA
Rfam family: Bacterial small subunit ribosomal RNA
Source: RNAcentral